GCUAAAAACCAGCAACGUUUCGUUCAGUUUAAGUGAGGGCUUCUCAUGAUACGAUUUCUGAAUAAUUUACGUAUGUUUCAUAUUUAAAUAAAGCUGACUUCUCAUAUCUUUCAUCAUAGAAAUAACCAUAUUGGUUUAUUUCUCUUCCUCGGGCUCUGGAAUAUUUUAUCAUAUCCUCUGCAGGUGAGACCCGCUUUGCUAACUGAGUCAUAGUAAAUUCCCACCCUACCAAUAAUUAAUUUAUGGAAGUGUUGGAUUUGUAAGAUGAUCAAAAUUUAUAUUGGUAAGCAGCAUGUACGGGCAGGAGUUUUUAUACCACAAGUGUAUAUGCCUCUCAGAAGGUUCUCUUAGAGGUUCAUCUCAACAAUAUUCGUAGGCAUUUCAACAUAUGAAGUGAAA
Molecule: long non-coding RNA, 399 nt
Filed under: Triticum aestivum (bread wheat)
Lineage: Eukaryota; Viridiplantae; Streptophyta; Magnoliopsida; Poales; Poaceae
Description: long non-coding RNA (TAES_LNC012696)
Source: RNAcentral